UGCUCAGGCUAAUAAGAAGUGA
This 22-nucleotide unclassified non-coding RNA is filed under the name Mus musculus (house mouse). RNAcentral's name for it is "oocyte_clustered_small_RNA9918". The record is from RNAcentral. Lineage: Eukaryota; Metazoa; Chordata; Mammalia; Rodentia; Muridae.